RNAcentral lists this ribosomal RNA (463 nucleotides) under uncultured bacterium. RNAcentral's name for it is "partial 16S ribosomal RNA". It matches the Rfam family "Bacterial small subunit ribosomal RNA", at positions 28 to 507 of the family's 1533-position model. The record is from RNAcentral.
GAUGAACGCUGACAGAAUGCUUAACACAUGCAAGUCGAUGGGGAGGUGGUGCUUGCACCAUGGCAACCAUGGCGGACGGGUGAGUAACGCGUAAGGGACUUACCUGCAGGACUGGGAUAACAGGGGGAAACUCCUGACAAGACCGGAUAAUGUCAUGGAGCUGCAUGGCUUUAUGAUGAAAGGAGACGCCUGCGGAGAGCCUUGCGUCCUAUUAGCUAGUUGGUGAGGUAAUGGCUCACCAAGGCGAAGAUAGGUAGCCGGCCUGAGAGGGUGGACGGCCACAAGGGGACUGAGAUACGGCCCUUACUCCUACGGGAGGCAGCAGUGGGGAAUAUUGGACAAUGGGGGCAACCCUGAUCCAGCAAUUCUGUGUGCACGAAGAAGGUUUUCGGAUUGUAAAGUGCUUUCAGCAGGGAAGAAGUAAGUGACGGUACCUGCAGAAGAAGCGACGGCUAAAUACGUG